AAGACGUAGGUCAUGUACUCACUGCAUAAAAUAAAUUAGAUAAAUGCAACAAGUCAUUACACUCCAGGUCCAGGUCUCCAACAAAAUGAAAGUUCAAAGGCACUAUUACAAAUUGAUUAACAUAACAAAACCAAAUCCUGAGUCAUCCAAAGUUAUCAUUUGACAAGAAAUGCAUUAAAAGCAUGAACCCACUCUUUCCACAUUAAUUCCAAGAGACUUCUAUUCUAAGUCAAAAAUCACAAAUCUGGAACAUUCACAAUAUACAACAAUGAUCAAAGACACAAAGAGUGUCCAAUGAAGAGUAACUCUUCCAUGCCAGGAAUGAUUAAACACUAAAAUGCCAUUGCCACAAGUCUAAAUUAAAAGAUUCUG
This 372-nucleotide unclassified non-coding RNA is filed under the name Hevea brasiliensis (rubber tree). The record is from RNAcentral. Lineage: Eukaryota; Viridiplantae; Streptophyta; Magnoliopsida; Malpighiales; Euphorbiaceae.